AACGAACGCUGGCGGCGUGGAUAAGACAUGCAAGUCGAACGAAGAAUCGCACUAGCUUGCUAGAGCACUAUAUUCUUAGUGGCGGACGGGUGAGUAACACGUGAGUCACCUGCCCUGAAGCGGGGGAUAGCCCACCGAAAGGUGGAUUAAUACCGCAUGUGGCCGCAAGGCUAAAGGUGCCCUCGGGUGCCGCUUCAGGAUGGGCUCGCGGCCUAUCAGCUUGUUGGUGAGGUAAUGGCUCACCAAGGCAACGACGGGUAGCUGGUCUGAGAGGACGACCAGUCACACUGGAACUGAGACACGGUCCAGACACCUACGGGUGGCAGCAGUCGAGAAUCAUUCGCAAUGGACGAAAGUCUGACGGUGCGACGCCGCGUGGAGGACAUGAAGGCCUUAGGGUCGUAAACUCCUGUCAUCAGUGAGUAAGGCACAGGUGCUAAUACCAUCUGUGAUUGAUAGUAGCUGAAGAGGAAGAGACGGCUAACUCUG
This 489-nucleotide ribosomal RNA is filed under the name uncultured Verrucomicrobiaceae bacterium. RNAcentral's name for it is "bacterial SSU rRNA". It matches the Rfam family "Bacterial small subunit ribosomal RNA", at positions 29 to 505 of the family's 1533-position model. Lineage: Bacteria; Pseudomonadati; Verrucomicrobiota; Verrucomicrobiia; Verrucomicrobiales; Verrucomicrobiaceae. The record is from RNAcentral.